AUGAGCUGCACACAGUUUGCCUUCCCCUGUUUUUAUUGGAAAGCAGUGCUGGAGACAAAAGUGCAGAGCUUGGGUCGGGCACGAAUUCUACAGGCAGGGAAUGUGGCCCGGCAGUGUCUGACCCUCAGCAGGGACAAGGCACAGCAGCAGCCGAGGGGAUUCCUCUGCCACCGUGCAGGAGCCAGGACUCUGGAUCCGGGCUGGACACGGCAAAGUUCCCGUGUUUGCACAGACUCAGGGGCUGCCCCCGGAGCGAGCGGGGCUCGGCCGUGGGGAGCGUGGGGAGAGCGGGGAACGGACACUCGGACACGCGGACACGCGGACACUCGGACACAUGGACAAACGGCCCCGCCGCUUCAGUUGCAGCGGCAGCGGCGGCAGCGGCGGCAGCGAAAUCGCAAGCGACUCUACACUCUCCGUUUCUUGCUCUUGCUCCUCCUCUCCCUCUAUUCCGCACCUUCUCCCCGCCUCCCCUUCCCGGUGUCCCCCUCCUCUCUCGGUGUCCCUUUCCCGGUGGCCCCCUCCUUUCCCGGUGUCCCCGUCCUCUCCCGGACUCUCCCCCUCCCCCUGCCGGGCCGGGCCAUGCCCCAGGCCCGCCCCCGGCCCCGGGCGGGGCCGCCCCCUCCCCGGCCCCGGGCGUCCCGCCGCGGUCUGGCCUCCGCCCGGCUCUCGCCGUCCUGGCUGUGGCGCUGCCGGGCGGGCAUCAGUGCCCGGGGCUGGGGCGGCAUCUCCACCCUUUGGCUCCGCCUGUCCCGAGCCCGGCCCCGGCCCCGACGCGGGGUCCCGAGCCCGGCCCUGGCUCCGGCCUCGGCUCCGGCCCCGGCUCCUCCCGGGGCCCGCGGAGGACACACGGGGCGCGGCCGCUCCCGCCGCCUCCGCUGCGGCUUCCCCGGCCCGAGCUCCGCCGCUCGGCAGCGCGGCCGCCGGCCCCGAGCCGCCGGUGUCCCGUUCGGAUGGGGAUGCCCGGGCCGGGGCGGUCGGGGGCCGUGUCUGGCCCCGGGCCGAGCGCUGACGGCCGCGUGUCGCCCGCAGGCAAGGCGCAGGAGGCCCUGCAGGAGCGGUACCGGCUGGGUUCGCUGCUGGGCAGCGGCGGCUUCGGCAGCGUCUUCUCGGGCACGCGGCUCGCGGACGGCGCCCCGCCCGACGGCGCCCGUGCGCCCCUGGAGAUCGUGCUGCUGGACAAGGUGUCCACUGGGUUCUGUGGUGUCAUCCGGCUCCUGGAGUGGGUUGAGCUGCCCAGCAGCUUCUUGCUGGUGCUGGAGCGUCCGGAGCGGUGUCAGGACCUGUCGGGUUUGCUGGCGGAGCGGAGGUUCGUGCCCGAGGAGGAGGCGCGGGGGCUGUUCGGCCAGGUGCUGGAGGCCGUGCGGCACUGCACCAGCUGCGGGGUCCUGCACCGGGACAUCAAGCCCGAGAACAUCCUGCUCGACCUGGCCACCGGGCAGCUGA
This 1446-nucleotide long non-coding RNA is filed under the name Corvus moneduloides (New Caledonian crow). Its description in RNAcentral is "lncRNA (ENSCMUG00000018862.1)". Lineage: Eukaryota; Metazoa; Chordata; Aves; Passeriformes; Corvidae. The record is from RNAcentral.